GACGAACGCUGGCGGCGUGCUUAACACAUGCAAGUCGAACGGUGAUGGCCAGCUUGCUGGUCUGAUCAGUGGCGAACGGGUGAGUAACACGUGAGCAACCUGCCCUUCACUCUGGGAUAACCACGGGAAACGGUGGCUAAUACCGGAUAUGAAACACACACGCAUGUGUAGUGUUUGGAAAGAUUUAUCGGUGGGGGAUGGGCUCGCGGCCUAUCAGCUUGUUGGUGGGGUAGUGGCCUACCAAGGCGACGACGGGUAGCCGGCCUGAGAGGGCGACCGGCCACACUGGGACUGAGACACGGCCCAGACUCCUACGGGAGGCAGCAGUGGGGAAUAUUGCACAAUGGGCGCAAGCCUGAUGCAGCGACGCCGCGUGAGGGAUGACGGCCUUCGGGUUGUAAACCUCUUUCAGCAGGGAAGAAGCGCAAGUGACGGUACCUGCAGAAGAAGCGCCGGCUAACUACGUGCCAGCCGCCGCCGUAACAC
This 486-nucleotide ribosomal RNA is filed under the name uncultured bacterium. RNAcentral describes it as "bacterial SSU rRNA". It matches the Rfam family "Bacterial small subunit ribosomal RNA", at positions 28 to 526 of the family's 1533-position model. The record is from RNAcentral.